Molecule: ribosomal RNA, 468 nt
Filed under: uncultured bacterium
Lineage: Bacteria
Description: partial 16S ribosomal RNA
Rfam family: Bacterial small subunit ribosomal RNA
Source: RNAcentral
GACGAACGCUGGCGGCGUGCUUAACACAUGCCAGUCGAACGGAAAGGCCCUGCUUUUGUGGGGUGCUCGAGUGGCGAACGGGUGAGUAACACGUGAGUAACCUGCCCUUGACUUUGGGAUAACUUCAGGAAACUGGGGCUAAUACCGGAUAGGAGCUCCUGCUGCAUGGUGGGGGUUGGAAAGUUUCGGCGGUUGGGGAUGGACUCGCGGCUUAUCAGCUUGUUGGUGGGGUAGUGGCUUACCAAGGCUUUGACGGGUAGCCGGCCUGAGAGGGUGACCGGCCACAUUGGGACUGAGGUACGGCCCAGACUCCUACGGGAGGCAGCAGUGGGGAAUAUUGCACAAUGGGCGGAAGCCUGAUGCAGCAACGCCGCGUGCGGGAUGACGGCCUCCGGGUUGUAAACCGCUUUCGCCUGUGACGAAGCGUGAGUGACGGUAAUGGGUAAAGAAGCACCGGCUAACUACGUG